AUGGAGUCUUACAGUAUAUCGACAGAUAGUUCUCCAGUGAGAGUGGUGCAAGUGAUCCUUUAACCUGAGAUCACCAUGGUAUCUUGUGUACAUGGAUCCUUACUUGGUUUAUUCUCUAGCAUACCACUUUGAGAUGUGUGUGGGAUAUUCUGGGUAUGGUGAAGUGUGCAUGAAGGUUGUGAGUAGUUAAUAAGGAAUCGAUCACUCCUUAUAGGAGGAGAGAACAUCCUAUGUGAUCUCAUAGGAUGAUGACUCUAAGAG
This 261-nucleotide long non-coding RNA is filed under the name Elaeis guineensis (African oil palm). RNAcentral's name for it is "long non-coding RNA (EGUI_LNC001077)". Lineage: Eukaryota; Viridiplantae; Streptophyta; Magnoliopsida; Arecales; Arecaceae. The record is from RNAcentral.